GCAGGAAACAAGCUUGGGGCGAGCUGGA
RNAcentral lists this non-coding RNA (28 nucleotides) under Homo sapiens (human). The record is from RNAcentral. Lineage: Eukaryota; Metazoa; Chordata; Mammalia; Primates; Hominidae.